Pelmatolapia mariae (spotted tilapia) is the source of this 4112-nucleotide long non-coding RNA. RefSeq lists it as uncharacterized. Lineage: Eukaryota; Metazoa; Chordata; Actinopteri; Cichliformes; Cichlidae. The record is from RefSeq and is a predicted model, not a curated record. The transcript is spliced from 4 exons.
CAAUAUCGCCACAUAAUAUAGUCCAAAAAGUGGAAGUUUGUAAACUUUUUAAAAAUGCAAAGCCGUGUACACUUGUGCACUUCAAAAAUUCAUUGUAUACUGUACCUUCUUGCACGUCUCUGUUUCCUGUGUGUGUUGUUAGAAAUCAAACUAACUUUAGGAAACAAUAUGCCAAAAGCAUAUUUACAAUUACUUAAGACCGAUUUUAAUUUAUUUUCUUUAGACCAAAUCCCCUGUACACAUAUACGGACUCAGAGGAUGAGCAGCCUACAAAAAAACGGUUUCCCCAGGCCCCUCGAGCGAAAAUACCAGCCCUCAUCACUCCGCAGUCUGCCCCCCAGCCCACUGAUAGCAACCAUCAUAAUACCCCACCCAGCUUCCGGCACCUUUCGCCACUCCGGCACAAACCGACACAGCUUUGCGAUCUCCCCAGCAUGCAGAGUCUGAUGUCUUCCCUAUAGAUGAUUCCAGAGACUCUGUGAGGCCACUAUUGCAAGGUGAGACGCUUUGCGUUGAUUGGUGCUGCUGGACCACACUGGAGGUGCGAGUCCGCCGUGUAAUGGUUUAUGCCAUUACAAAGGAGCUGGCCUCUGUACUCAACUGGGCAGGGGAAAAAAUACCAAGGACCAGACAAAGCAAAAAAGGGCAUUUAAAGAGACAGCGCUGUGCAGAUGCAUAUUUGGUAAGUUUUAACAUUUAUUGUAGUUUUAUGAGCCUAAAGUGAACAAUAAAGGGAUCAAUUGAUGUGCUGGGUGCAUUUCACAUUUCCUAUGUCUGUUUUUUGCUAUAUUACUUUGUCUUUCUUAAUAACAAGACUUUCAUGUCCGGUUAAUCUGGAGAUGGAGUCUUUGGUCUUCGGCUUGUUUUGUCCUCUGGUUGUACACUUUGUACAGCCCGAGGACCCCAUGUUUUCUUUUCUUUUUUUUAAAGGAUACACGGCACACCAUGCUAAGACAUAUCACAUUUUCAGCUUAUAGCUCUUUGGGAAUCAAAUGCGGCAGUUUGCUGAUUUCCGCCUGGUGACUUUCAUGUUUAUUAGCCUAGGAGUUUACAUACUUUCUCCCUGCUGAAGACAAUUAACAAGAGCUUAUUCAUGUGCUCUAAUUCCCUUUUUUUGUCUUUGUUUUUUUGUGUGUGUGUCUAUUUUUGUCCUAGAUGGCCUGGCGCAGCAGGUAGGGGCGAACUCUAUGUCUGAGUUGGUCUUUGCUCAAGCAGUCCAGAAAUGGCUCAGAUAUGCUCCAGAUCGUACGGGUGGCACGCAGGACGCACAUCAUCCAUCCCCAUCCCGGAGUAAAUAAUAAAAAGUGACGUGAAACAUAGAAACGUAAAUAGGAAACUUUGUCUUUUAAUAAAGUAUUUUGCAAAUGAUACAUGUCUAUUGACCUUUUUUGUUUUUUUUCAAUAAAAAGCAACUGUGCGAAAGAGGUGGAAAAUCAACACCAUAGCUCAACAGUGUUUCAAUAUCAGAAUCUGACAUUGUUUCAAUGUCAACAGUGUUAGAAAAUAUAACAUCGAAUCAAUGUCAGGUUUCAACAUUGAUUCAACAUCAAAACCUGACGUUGUUUCAACAUUAAAAAUGGGUGCAAGAGUGACGUUGGGUCAACGUCAGAUCUCAACGUUGGUUCAAUGACAUCGCCUGAUAUUGACUCAACAUUGUUUCAAUGUUUCCUUGCUAUCUGGGAAACCGGUCCGUGGCGCAAAAAAGGUUGGGGACCGCUGCACUGGAGCACAAACUGGGUGUCAUCAGGAUGCUACAACACAGAGCGAACACCAUCCCCACUCACACAGCGGCCAGAGAGGCAGAAGAACAUCACAUCAAGAAGGCCCUGAGUAUGGCUACGUUCACACUGCAGGUCUUAAUGCUCAAUUCAGAUUUUUUGAUCAAAUCCAAUUUUUUUGUCUUCUUGUUCACACUACAAAUAAAAUGCGACAGCAAACGCUCUCCAGUGUGAACGCUCAAAGCGGCCCGCAUGCGCAAAAGAAGAUGUCACACACAACGCGCUCUGUUUAGACCCAGAGCAAACAAUAUUGUUUGACUGAUGGCCCUUAAAAUAAAGACUUCGGACUUUACGUUUCACAAUUUUUGCUUUAAGUUAUUUUGUUAUUUACAUAAUAAUGUAUAUAACCUAAUAAUUAUCCUUAUUGCUGUUUUAGAGGAGCGGUGCUUCAAAGGAUAGUUUCAGGUUUCUGUCAGAAUCUGCAGAUUAUACAGUACAAAUAAAAUGUUCACGUUUCUCCAACGUUGUCUUCCCAACAGUUUCACUGACAUCUACACUGGAUGGCCAGGAAGCGUUCACGAUGUCUUCUCGGGCGCUUCUCCGGCACUGAUAAUUGGCGUCUGUCUCGUGUCAGUGACAUAAAAGACGGAUUUAAUGCGACCUGACCGUUCAAACAGCAGUCGCUUUCUAAAACAUCGGAUAUGUAUCGGAUUCAGUACCACAUACGAAAGUGACCCAGGUCGGAUUUGAAAAUAUCGGAUUUGUGCUGUUCACACUGUCAUACCAUGAUCGGAUAUGGGUCGCAUAGGGUCAAAAAAAUCGGAUUUGAUGCGCUUUCGCCUGCAGUGUGAACGUAGCCUAAAUGUGGUUAUCCCAGCUGGACUUUUGUCAAAGCUGAAAAGGCACCUAAAGAAAGCUCCAGCUGAUCCAGGAGAGAAGGACAACUGCUGCCCAAGCGAAAACCUGUAGUGAUCCCGUAUGUGUCAGGAGUAUCGGAACAGUUGAGACGCAUUUUUUCUAAACACCAGGUCUCUGUGGCUUUUAAACCCCAAAACACGCUGCGCCAAAAACUGGUCCACCCCAAGGAUCGGGUCCCCCGACACAAACAGAGUAACAUAGUGUACGCUGUUAAGUGCCAGGGGGAUUGCCAGGAUUUAUACAUCGGGGAAACCAAACAACCUCUGGCGAAGCGGAUGGCACAACACAGAAGAGCUACCUCGUCAGGGCAGGACUCUACAGUCUAUUUACACCUACAGGCCAGUGGACACUCUUUCAAGGGAAAGACCAUCUCUGAAUCGAGGAGGGGGCCUAAGGGUACAUCUUUCGCCAUCGUACAAUGCUGUGAUUGCAGCCAUUCCGCAACUCUCUGAAUGGUACUCAUGGCCAUUGAUCAGUGGUCUUUGAUCAGUGGGUUUUGGUCAGUGGUUGUUGAUCAAUGGUCAUGAGAAUUUGCAUAAUUAUGAUUAAGGAACUGACCUCCCAGCCCAUUGUUCCCUCAGUGGGCUGGUUUCAGUCAUUAUGCAAAUGUACUGUUUAUAAGAUUUGGGGAAACCUGCAGUCAGCUGAGACUGAAGAAGUCACUUGGAUGAGUGACGAAACGUUUCUCCCACAAAACACUACGUCCAGAUGAACAGAAUCAACUUUUGGAGAAUAGUGAAUAAAACUACUGGAACGCGGAGGAAUAGAGUUCCUGUCUUGCCUGUAUUUUUUCUCUGUCACAGCAAGAACUCUGAUUACUCUGGGAGCUACUGGAUUCACAGCAAUACACAGGAAUACCAAUAAACGGUGCAAAUACACCAAGAGCAUUUAAUUACAGCAACUGUACCCUCAUGGACAAAUACUUCAUAAUAAAUGUUAAUGCUUUUGUGUUGGAAAAAUAACACAUUAAACAUAAUUACAGAUGGUAGAUUAAAAAUAACAAAACAAAACAUUUUAAACUAGUGAAUCAACUGAACUGAACUAAGAAUCACCAUAAACCAGACUGGGAGUAAAGCAGAAUCUCUGCUUCUUUAAGUAAGUAAGUAAAAUUUUAUUUAUACAGCACAUUUCUAGAUAAAAUGAUCACAAAGUGCUUCACAAAGUAUAAAACAAAACAGACAAAAGUUAACAAAAUGCAAUGCUAAAAAGAUGUGUUUUUAGUUGUUUUUUAAAAGUGACCACUGAGUCCGCAAUUCUUAAGUUCCGUGGAACUGUAAAGGUUCAAUGAUGUAGGCUGGAGCUUGUCCUUGAAGAGCUUUAAAUGUCAGAACCAGUAUCUUAAAAUGGACUCUGAAUUGAACAGGGAGCCAGUGCAGCUGUAUAAGCAAUGGUGUUACAUGAGAGUACUUAGAUGUUUUUGUCAGAAGCCUUGCUGCAGCAUUUAUUUAUUUAUUUCUGUUCAUUGCAAACACAACG